AUGCAAGUCGAGCGAACAGAUAAGGAGCUUGCUCCUUUGACGUUAGCGGCGGACGGGUGAGUAACACGUGGGUAACCUACCUAUAAGACUGGGAUAACUUCGGGAAACCGGAGCUAAUACCGGAUAACAUUUGGAACCGCAUGGUUCUAAAGUGAAAGAUGGUUUUGCUAUCACUUAUAGAUGGACCCGCGCCGUAUUAGCUAGUUGGUAAGGUAACGGCUUACCAAGGCAACGAUACGUAGCCGACCUGAGAGGGUGAUCGGCCACACUGGAACUGAGACACGGUCCAGACUCCUACGGGAGGCAGCAGUAGGGAAUCUUCCGCAAUGGGCGAAAGCCUGACGGAGCAACGCCGCGUGAGUGAUGAAGGGUUUCGGCUCGUAAAACUCUGUUAUUAGGGAAGAACAAAUGUGUAAGUAACUGUGCACGUCUUGACGGUACCUAAUCAGAAAGCCACGGCUAACUACGUGCCAGCAGCCGCGGUAAUACGUAGGUGGCAAGCGUUAUCCGGAAUUAUUGGGCGUAAAGCGCGCGUAGGCGGUUUCUUAAGUCUGAUGUGAAAGCCCACGGCUCAACCGUGGAGGGUCAUUGGAAACUGGGAAACUUGAGUGCAGAAGAGGAAAGUGGAAUUCCAUGUGUAGCGGUGAAAUGCGCAGAGAUAUGGAGGAACACCAGUGGCGAAGGCGACUUUCUGGUCUGUAACUGACGCUGAUGUGCGAAAGCGUGGGGAUCAAACAGGAUUAGAUACCCUGGUAGUCCACGCCGUAAACGAUGAGUGCUAAGUGUUAGGGGGUUUCCGCCCCUUAGUGCUGCAGCUAACGCAUUAAGCACUCCGCCUGGGGAGUACGACCGCAAGGUUGAAACUCAAAGGAAUUGACGGGGACCCGCACAAGCGGUGGAGCAUGUGGUUUAAUUCGAAGCAACGCGAAGAACCUUACCAAAUCUUGACAUCCUUUGAAAACUCUAGAGAUAGAGCCUUCCCCUUCGGGGGACAAAGUGACAGGUGGUGCAUGGUUGUCGUCAGCUCGUGUCGUGAGAUGUUGGGUUAAGUCCCGCAACGAGCGCAACCCUUAAGCUUAGUUGCCAUCAUUAAGUUGGGCACUCUAGGUUGACUGCCGGUGACAAACCGGAGGAAGGUGGGGAUGACGUCAAAUCAUCAUGCCCCUUAUGAUUUGGGCUACACACGUGCUACAAUGGACAAUACAAAGGGCAGCUAAACCGCGAGGUCAUGCAAAUCCCAUAAAGUUGUUCUCAGUUCGGAUUGUAGUCUGCAACUCGACUACAUGAAGCUGGAAUCGCUAGUAAUCGUAGAUCAGCAUGCUACGGUGAAUACGUUCCCGGGUCUUGUACACACCGCCCGUCACACCACGAGAGUUUGUAACACCCGAAGCCGGUGGAGUAAC
This 1403-nucleotide ribosomal RNA is filed under the name Staphylococcus saprophyticus. Its description in RNAcentral is "bacterial SSU rRNA". It matches the Rfam family "Bacterial small subunit ribosomal RNA". The record is from RNAcentral. Lineage: Bacteria; Bacillati; Bacillota; Bacilli; Caryophanales; Staphylococcaceae.